This 125-nucleotide microRNA precursor is filed under the name Trypanosoma vivax Y486. The record is from RNAcentral. Lineage: Eukaryota; Euglenozoa; Kinetoplastea; Trypanosomatida; Trypanosomatidae.
GAAAGAAAGAAGAAGAGGAGGAGAGAGAGAGAGAGAGAGAGAAGGGUUAGGGAAAGCAAAUAGCAAGAUGCAUCUUAACCGUGUGUGGUUUUUUUUUUUUUUUCUUCCUUUCUUUCUUACUCUUC